This 468-nucleotide ribosomal RNA is filed under the name uncultured bacterium. RNAcentral's name for it is "partial 16S ribosomal RNA". It matches the Rfam family "Bacterial small subunit ribosomal RNA", at positions 28 to 507 of the family's 1533-position model. The record is from RNAcentral.
GACGAACGCUGGCGGCGUGCUUAACACAUGCAAGUCGAACGGAAAGGCCCUGCUUUUGUGGGGUGCUCGAGUGGCGAACGGGUGAGUAACACGUGAGUAACCUGCCCUUGACUUUGGGAUAACUUCAGGAAACUGGGGCUAAUACCGGAUAGGAGCUCCUGCUGCAUGGUGGGGGUUGGAAAGUUUCGGCGGUUGGGGAUGGACUCGCGGCUUAUCAGCUUGUUGGUGGGGUAGUGGCUUACCAAGGCUUUGACGGGUAGCCGGCCUGAGAGGGUGACCGGCCACAUUGGGACUGAGAUACGGCCCAGACUCCUACGGGAGGCAGCAGUGGGGAAUAUUGCACAAUGGGCGGAAGCCUGAUGCAGCAACGCCGCGUGCGGGAUGACGGCCUUCGGGUUGUAAACCGCUUUCGCCUGUAACGAAGCGUGAGUGACGGUAAUGGGUAAAGAAGCACCGGCUAGCUACGUG